CUUCCCUUCAGUCCUGCAGAAUCAAGUGACCGGGAGCGAGGCGAUCAGAGGUGGAAGCUGUGACGAGGACAGGUCCUUCUCAAAGAUGUCUGCCCAGGUGAGCAGUCUGAGACUUGUCCACAGAGAGACCUGACCUGGCCAAGGUAAGUACUUACUGGCUCCUGGAGAUACUUGGAGUGAUUAAAGCAAAAAGAAAUGCUUUGGCUCAAAUGAAAUAAAAAUCAUGGGACAUAUUCCAGUGAAAGUGCAGUGAUGCCGGGUCCACAGAAUUUCUCUGUGCACUAGUUUGGUUAUCAUUAUUUACAAAUAACAGAAAACCUCAUUAAAAUUAACUCGAACAAGUCAGAUUUUUAGAUUCAUAACUGAAAGUUCCAGAGGGAGAUCAGGCAUGACUUGAUCAGGGUGCAGAUUCUGUUUCUCAGCAUUUUUCUUGGUUUG
RNAcentral lists this long non-coding RNA (438 nucleotides) under Mustela putorius furo (domestic ferret). Its description in RNAcentral is "lncRNA (ENSMPUG00000026925.1)". The record is from RNAcentral. Lineage: Eukaryota; Metazoa; Chordata; Mammalia; Carnivora; Mustelidae.